GCCCGACCUCCCAACCCUUUGUUUACAGAACCUCUGUUGCUUCGGCGGACCCGUCUCACGACCGCCGGAGGACCGCCGAGAGGCGUCCUCUGGUCAGUGUCCGUCGAUAGCCCAACUUAAACCCUGAAUGAAUCGUGUCGUAUGUCUAAGUCCAAGAUUAAAUAAAGCAAAACUUUCAACAACGGAUCUCUUGGUUCUGGCAUCGAUGAAGAACGCAGCGAAAUGCGAUAAGUAAUGCGAAUUGCAGAAUUCCAGUGAGUCAUCGAAUCUUUGAACGCACAUUGCGCCCUUUGGUAUUCCGAAGGGCAUGCCUGUUCGAGCGUCAUUAUCACCCCUCAAGCCCUGUGCUUGGUGUUGGACGGCUGGUCGCGCGAGUGACCCCUCCCAAAGACAAUGACGGCGGCCUGUGGUUCCCCCGGUACACUGAGCUUUUCAUCGAGCACGUGUCGGAUAAGGGCGCCCGGGACACGGUCCUCUCCUCUCACGAGGAAAUUUUAUCAAGGUUGACCUCGGAUCAGGUAGGAAUACGCGCUGAACUUAAGCAUAUCAAUAAGCGCAGGAAAAGAAACCAACAGGGAUUGCCUCAGUAACGGCGAGUGAAGCGGCAAUAGCUCAAAUUUGAAAUCUGGCCUCUUGAGGUCCGAGAUGUAAUUUGUAGAGGAUGUUUUGGGCACCGCCCCGGUUUAAAUUUCUUGGAACAGAAUGUCAGAGAGGGUGAGAAUCCCGUCUUGGACCGGCGUAGGGCCUGUAUAAAACUCCUUCGACGAGUCGAGUUGUUUGGGAAUGCAGCUCAAAAUGGGUGGUAAAUUUCAUCUAAAGCUAAAUAUUGGCCAGAGACCGAUAGCGCAC
RNAcentral lists this ribosomal RNA (849 nucleotides) under uncultured fungus. Its description in RNAcentral is "eukaryotic LSU rRNA". The stretch from base 505 to 849 matches the Rfam family "Eukaryotic large subunit ribosomal RNA", at positions 1 to 345 of the family's 3401-position model. The record is from RNAcentral. Lineage: Eukaryota; Fungi.